Molecule: ribosomal RNA, 732 nt
Filed under: uncultured bacterium
Lineage: Bacteria
Description: bacterial SSU rRNA
Rfam family: Bacterial small subunit ribosomal RNA
Source: RNAcentral
AACGCGUGGGUAAUACCGCAUACGUUCUUUUGGGGGAGUCCCUGGAAGAGGAAAGCCAGCGGCAACGCUGGCGCACGGGGAGGGGUUCGCGGCCUAUCAGCUAGUUGGCGGGGUAAUGGCCCACCAAGGCGACGACGGGUAGCUGGUCUGAGAGGAUGGCCAGCCACAUUGGGACUGAGAGACGGCCCAGACUCCUACGGGAGGCAGCAGUGGGGAAUCUUGCGCAAUGGCCGAAAGGCUGACGCAGCGACGCCGCGUGUGGGAUGAAGCAUUUCGGUGUGUAAACCACUGUUGCCCGGGACGAACAGCCCUUUUCGAGGGGUCUGACGGUACCGGGUGAGGAAGCACCGGCUAACUCCGUGCCAGCAGCCGCGGUAAUACGGAGGGUGCGAGCGUUGUCCGGAAUCAUUAGGCGUAAAGGGCGCGUAGGUGGCCUGGUCAGUCAGUGGUGAAAGCGCGGGGCUCAACCCUGCGUCGGCCAUUGAUACUGCUGGGCUUGAGCACUGUAGAGGCAGGCGGAAUUCCGGGUGUAGCGGUGGAAUGCGUAGAGAUCCGGAAGAACACCGGUGGCGAAGGCGGCCUGCUGGGCAGUUGCUGACACUGAGGCGCGACAGCGUGGGGAGCAAACAGGAUUAGAUACCCUGGUAGUCCACGCCGUAAACGAUGGGCACUAGGCGCUUGGGGGAGCGACCCCCCGAGGGCCGGCGCUAACGCAUUAAGUGCCCCGCCUGG